CAGCCACCAGAACCACCCAUUAUAACUCUGCUUUUCUCUGUGCUGGGGCUGCAGCUCUCCCUGGCUUAUAGGUGUUUGCUUCUGACACCGCGUGGGCCCUCCGUGGGCAGGUCUGUCCUGUGCUGUGGACUCCUCUAGGAAGCCCCGACCUGGGGUAGGAAGGAAGAAUCCUGGACGGGAGGAACUUCGUGUUCAAUCAUUGCUAGUCCAUGACACAAGCUGGAAGCCUUGUGAACCCUCCUCCAGGCCACACGCAGCUCCGAGGACAGUGCCUGGCUGGGGACCAGAGUGCCCUGCAGGGAACUCGGCCUGAGGGACUAUCCUCCGCGACUCUGGGCGACCUGAGGCCUGAGGCAAGUGAACGGCUUCCCCCACUGCUCUCCACCCUGCGCUGCGCAGGCCCCAAGCCAUGGCGAUGACUGUGGCCUGGAGCUUCCGGAACCACGAGCUGCAUACACAAUGUCUCCACAGGCUGAUGGCCCUGGGCGGGCGUGUUCUACUCUGAGGCAAAACCAACCAGCACCCAGGAGCAGGGUCUGAGCACUGACUUCCAGUCCUUAGUGCUGUUCUUGGUCUCCACCUCUGGCUGUGUCUGCUCCCUUUUCUGGGCCUGGGUCCUUCCUUCCUGGGUGGUCUCUGGGCUCCCUGGGUCUGACCCUGUCUUUCUGGGUGAUGCUCUGUCCACCGUCUGGAUGCCCUCCUGGAUCCAGUAGCCCCCGCACAGGAGUGUGAAUCGCUGGAGCUCUGGCCAAAGCCCGAGAGAGCCUGUGUGGAAAGGCUGGGCUUAGAGGCUGCAGGGCCGCCCUUUGGAAACCCCAUUCUGUGGAUAGGAAGAGCCUGGCUCCAGCUCUACCCCAAGGGUGUAUGAGUGUCCUUGUCUGACCCAGCUCUCCUACAAGUCCUCCUUGGGGUCUUGUGGACUCUUGCACCCCAUAGAUGUGCUCCCCUUGGACUUGUGAAUGUGCUCCUACUGGAGAAAAGGUCUUUACAGGUACAGUUAAGGAUUUCUGGGUGGUGUUGUCCUGGGUCAUGUGGGCAGGCCCUGGAUCCCUGCCAGGUGUCCUCCUGAGAGGAAGCCAGGUAAAAACUGAGGCAGGGCCAGUGUGAUGCUUCACCAGCCCAGGGACCCCCAGGUUGGCUAAGGUCCUGGGGCUGGACAGAGGCCAGGGCUGUGUUCCGUUCACACCCACCCUGCUUCAUCUCCACGUCAGACUUGAAAGCAGCCCAUCCCUGCUGUUGUACAUGCACAGUUUGCGGUGGUAUGUUACUGCAGCCCUGGGAAACUGGGCCAGGUCCCACCCCAACUCUGGCCUGCCUCUGUGACCUCAAGCAUCCAUUUCUGAUCCGGAAAUGGAGUAAAGACGCCAGGGGAGGUGAGGACAAGAGCAGUGACGCUGGCUCAUGGUCCCAGCUCAGCAUCUGGCCUGGCCCACAUGUGUACAGAGACACCAGGGAGAAAGUCCAAGAACCUGGUUCCCCCAGAGGGUAGGAGGCCCUGGGCUGGAGACUCACCCCAAAGAGGCAAAGGCAACGGCAGAGGGGGUGAGCAGCUGAGGUCUGAGUGCCGUGACCCCAGACACUGUCGUGGACACCAUCAUCCCAGUGUUGAAGUCCAGAAAGAUCAAAGUCCCUAAA
This is a long non-coding RNA of Chinchilla lanigera (long-tailed chinchilla), 1635 nucleotides long. RefSeq lists it as uncharacterized. The record is from RefSeq and is a predicted model, not a curated record. Lineage: Eukaryota; Metazoa; Chordata; Mammalia; Rodentia; Chinchillidae. The transcript is spliced from 3 exons.